CCUCUCCCUUCUAUAGAAGACAUAUUAAAUUGUUGGUUUGGUUUCAGGGACUCCUGGUGAAAAAAAAAUGAGUGUUAUUAUUAUUUGCAUAAUCCUCCCCCCAAAUGCUUCUGUUAUUGCUGUGGAUUCUUCUUAUAAGUCAGACAAGUGGUUUCAAAGUGUGCUGACUACACAAAAUUAAACCCCUCACAGAUUAGGACAUGUCUCAAGAAGAGAGUGUGUGAGAGAUUGUAAGAGCUGGUUAUAAGAGGUGAAAGUGUAGACUUAGCUUGGCAUGACUGCAGCCAUCUUGAGUAAACUGUCAUGAUCACUAGAUGGCUUUUCCUGCUUCAUUUCCCAGCAAACAAUGAAUAAAUAACAACUGCUAGAAUGGUAUAUGGAGCUUUAUAACUGGUCCCUGGUGAUGAGAAUGUUCCUAAUAUUACCUUAAAACAAACCAGGUAUUCUGGCUUGAAUGAAGUCACUUUUGUCUUAACUUGGAUAUAUGCCCCUCCUUCUUCCUCAAACUGUGGGAUCCACUUGGUCUUGCUGCUGCCAAGGACCACACUUUCAUCAUUAUGUCUCAUAAUAAAUUGCACUCUGUGAGAUCCUAUAUCUGUUUCUUUGAUCUCAUGGCACCUUGGAUUUCAUUUUCAUACAAUGGGCCCAGGUUGUUUCAAAACAGUCACUUUCUUAUCCUGACUCCAGACCCUGACUCAGGACUGGGUUCAUGUUUCUGGUGCCCCUGCUUUGGGUUGUUCAUUGAGAUCUUAGAAGUGAAGCAAUGCAGGGGCCUUGCUGACAUCCAGAAGAACCAAUAUCAGGUUUUCCUUUCAUUAUCUCUGUCAACCUAGACUAGCUAUGUAACCUCCGUGGGUCCCAGACUCUUCCUACAUCAGGCAAUAUUUCAAGGUGAUGACAUUUUAAUGAAUUCAGUGCAUGAAUCUUGUAGCUGUUCAAUGUGAUUUUUAAAUCUGUAUUUCCAAGAAUGUAGUCAAGCCUUCUUCCUCCAGUCUCAAAGCUCUGUCUCUCAUGGUCUCUGAGAGAUAUAUUAGGGGCAAAAAAUCACUAAACCUGGCUUCUUCU
This 1065-nucleotide long non-coding RNA is filed under the name Marmota monax (woodchuck). Lineage: Eukaryota; Metazoa; Chordata; Mammalia; Rodentia; Sciuridae. The record is from RNAcentral.